AUACGGAGGGUGCGAGCGUUAAUCGGAAUUACUGGGCGUAAAGCGUACGUAGGCGGUUGGUUAAGUUAGAUGUGAAAGCCCCGGGCUUAACCUGGGAACUGCAUUUAAAACUGGCGAACUAGAGUUGAGUAGAGGGGAGUGGAAUUUCAGGUGUAGCGGUGAAAGGCGUAGAGAUCUGAAGGAACACCAGUGGCGAAGGCGACUCCCUGGACUCGAACUGACGCUGAGGUACGAAAGCGUGGGUAGCAAACGGGAUUAGAAACCCCAGUAGUCC
RNAcentral lists this ribosomal RNA (274 nucleotides) under uncultured bacterium. RNAcentral describes it as "partial 16S ribosomal RNA". It matches the Rfam family "Bacterial small subunit ribosomal RNA", at positions 523 to 796 of the family's 1533-position model. The record is from RNAcentral.